GUGAGUCAUCGAAUCUUUGAACGCACAUUGCGCCCGCCAGUAUUCUGGCGGGCAUGCCUGUCCGAGCGUCAUUUCAACCCUCGAACCCCUCCGGGGGGUCGGCGUUGGGGAUCGGCCCUGUCACCGGGUGCCGCCCCCUAAAUACAGUGGCGGUCUCGCCGCAGCCUCUCAUGCGCAGUAGUUUGCACACUCGCACCGGGAGCGCGGCGCGUCCUCGUCCGUAAAACACCCCAAACUUCUGAAAUGUUGACCUCGGAUCAGGUAGGAAUACCCGCUGAACUUAAGCAUAUCAAUAAGCGGAGGA
This 304-nucleotide unclassified non-coding RNA is filed under the name Trichoderma sp. Its description in RNAcentral is "partial contains 5.8S ribosomal RNA, internal transcribed spacer 2, and large subunit ribosomal RNA". The stretch from base 1 to 71 matches the Rfam family "5.8S ribosomal RNA", at positions 84 to 154 of the family's 154-position model. Lineage: Eukaryota; Fungi; Ascomycota; Sordariomycetes; Hypocreales; Hypocreaceae. The record is from RNAcentral.